GGAUGCAAUCAUACCAGCAGUAAAGCAACGGAUCCCACCAGAACUCCGAAGUUAAGCGUGCUUGGGCGAGAGUAGUACCAGGAUGGGUGACCUCCUGGGAAGUCCUCGUGUUGCAUUCC
Molecule: ribosomal RNA, 119 nt
Filed under: Triticum aestivum (bread wheat)
Lineage: Eukaryota; Viridiplantae; Streptophyta; Magnoliopsida; Poales; Poaceae
Source: RNAcentral